Molecule: ribosomal RNA, 492 nt
Filed under: uncultured bacterium
Lineage: Bacteria
Description: partial 16S ribosomal RNA
Rfam family: Bacterial small subunit ribosomal RNA
Source: RNAcentral
AGUGAACGCUGGCGGUAGGCCUAACACAUGCAAGUCGAACGGCAGCACAGUAAGAGCUUGCUCUUACGGGUGGCGAGUGGCGGACGGGUGAGGAAUACAUCGGAAUCUACUUUUUCGUGGGGGAUAACGUAGGGAAACUUACGCUAAUACCGCAUACGACCUACGGGUGAAAGCAGGGGAUCUUCGGACCUUGCGCGAUUGAAUGAGCCGAUGUCGGAUUAGCUAGUUGGCGGGGUAAAGGCCCACCAAGGCGACGAUCCGUAGCUGGUCUGAGAGGAUGAGCAGCCAGGUUGGAAUUGAGACACGGUCGAGACGCCCAGGGGAGCCAGCAGUGGGGAAUGUUGGACAGUGUGCGCAAUCCUGAUCCAGUCAUAUCGCGUAGAUGAGGAGGGCCUUCGCGUUCUAAAGCUCUUAAGUUACGAAAGAAAAACAGCCGGUUAAACCCCGGCCGUUCUGCCGGUACCCAAAGAAGAAGCACCGGCUAACUUCGUG